Molecule: small RNA, 524 nt
Filed under: Pongo abelii (Sumatran orangutan)
Lineage: Eukaryota; Metazoa; Chordata; Mammalia; Primates; Hominidae
Description: processed transcript
Source: RNAcentral
GGUGGCCACGGCCGCCGCGCUGCUGGUCGGUUCCAGCACCCUCUUCUUCGUGUUCACGUGACUGGGAAGUUCCGCGGGGGUGUGAACCCUUUCACCCGAGGCUGCUGUGGGAAUGUGGAGCAUGUGCUGUGUAGCCCCCUGGCGCCCCGGUACGUGGUGGAGCCGCCCCGGCUGCCGCUCGCGGUGAGUUUGAAGCCGCCUUUCCUUAGGCCUGAACUCCUGGACCGAGCUGCACCGCUCAAGGUCAAGCUUAGUGACAACGGGCUGAAGGCUGGCCUGGGCCGUAGCAAGUCCAAGGGCAGCCUGGACCGACUGGAUGAGAAGCCACUGGACUUGGGGCCGCCACUGCCCCCCAAGAUAGAGGCUGGCACGUUCAGCAGUGACCUGCAGACCCCGCGCCCAGGCAGUGCUGAGAGUGCCCUGUCGGUGCAGAGGACCAGCCCCCCGACACCUGCCAUGUACAAGUUUAGGCCGGCUUUCCCCACGGGUCCCAAGGCGCCCUUCUGUGGACCAGGCGAGCAGGU